This 668-nucleotide ribosomal RNA is filed under the name uncultured bacterium. Its description in RNAcentral is "bacterial SSU rRNA". It matches the Rfam family "Bacterial small subunit ribosomal RNA", at positions 56 to 714 of the family's 1533-position model. The record is from RNAcentral.
UGCAGUCGAGGGGCAGCAUUUCAGUUUGCUUGCAAACUGGAGAUGGCGACCGGCGCACGGGUGAGUAACACGUAUCCAACCUGCCGAUAACUCGGGGAUAGCCUUUCGAAAGAAAGAUUAAUACCCGAUAGUAUAAUUAGACCGCAUGGUCUUAUUAUUAAAGAAUUUCGGUUAUCGAUGGGGAUGCGUUCCAUUAGGCAGUUGGUGAGGUAACGGCUCACCAAACCUUCGAUGGAUAGGGGUUCUGAGAGGAAGGUCCCCCACAUUGGAACUGAGACACGGUCCAAACUCCUACGGGAGGCAGCAGUGAGGAAUAUUGGUCAAUGGGCGCAGGCCUGAACCAGCCAAGUAGCGUGAAGGAUGACUGCCCUAUGGGUUGUAAACUUCUUUUAUAUGGGAAUAAAGUUUUCCACGUGUGGAAUUUUGUAUGUACCAUAUGAAUAAGGAUCGGCUAACUCCGUGCCAGCAGCCGCGGUAAUACGGAGGAUCCGAGCGUUAUCCGGAUUUAUUGGGUUUAAAGGGAGCGUAGUGGACAGUUAAGUCAGUUGUGAAAGUUUGCGGCUCAACCGUAAAAUUGCAGUUGAUACUGGCUGUCUUGAGUACAGUAGAGGUGGGCGGAAUUCGUGGUGUAGCGGUGAAAUGCUUAGAUAUCACGAAGAACUCCGAUU